RNAcentral lists this ribosomal RNA (433 nucleotides) under uncultured bacterium. Its description in RNAcentral is "partial 16S ribosomal RNA". It matches the Rfam family "Bacterial small subunit ribosomal RNA", at positions 29 to 507 of the family's 1533-position model. The record is from RNAcentral.
AACGAACGCUGGCGGCAUGCCUAACACAUGCAAGUCGAACGAGACCUUCGGGUCUAGUGGCGCACGGGUGCGUAACGCGUGGGAACCUGCCCUUAGGCUCGGAAUAACUCCCCGAAAGGGGUGCUAAUACCGGAUAAUGUCCUCGGACCAAAGAUUUAUCGCCUUUGGAUGGGCCCGCGUUGGAUUAGCUAGUUGGUAGGGUAAAAGCCUACCAAGGCGACGAUCCAUAGCUGGUCUGAGAGGAUGAUCAGCCACACUGGGACUGAGACACGGCCCAGACUCCUACGGGAGGCAGCAGUGGGGAAUAUUGGACAAUGGGCGAAAGCCUGAUUCAGCAAUGCCGCGUGAGUGAUGAAGGCCUUAGGGUUGUAAAGCUCUUUUACCCGGGAUGAUAAUGACAGUACCGGGAGAAUAAGCUCCGGCUAACUCCGUG